Molecule: small RNA, 31 nt
Filed under: Bombyx mori (domestic silkworm)
Lineage: Eukaryota; Metazoa; Arthropoda; Insecta; Lepidoptera; Bombycidae
Description: ovarian small RNA-37036
Source: RNAcentral
UUCAGUUCCUCAUCGGCCGUAAAAGCCGUAA